CGGGGCGUAGCGCAGUCCGGUAGCGCACCUGAAUGGGGUUCAGGAGGCCGGCAGUUCGAAUCUGCCCGCCCCGACCA
Molecule: transfer RNA, 77 nt
Filed under: Actinomycetota bacterium
Lineage: Bacteria; Bacillati; Actinomycetota
Description: Actinobacteria bacterium (freshwater metagenome) tRNA-Pro
Rfam family: tRNA
About the family: Transfer RNA (tRNA) molecules are approximately 80 nucleotides in length. Their secondary structure includes four short double-helical elements and three loops (D, anti-codon, and T loops). Further hydrogen bonds mediate the characteristic L-shaped molecular structure. tRNAs have two regions of fundamental functional importance: the anti-codon, which is responsible for specific mRNA codon recognition, and the 3' end, to which the tRNAs corresponding amino acid is attached (by aminoacyl-tRNA synthetases). tRNAs cope with the degeneracy of the genetic code in two manners: having more than one tRNA (with a specific anti-codon) for a particular amino acid; and 'wobble' base-pairing, i.e. permitting non-standard base-pairing at the 3rd anti-codon position.
Source: RNAcentral